This 371-nucleotide ribosomal RNA is filed under the name Escherichia coli. RNAcentral describes it as "partial 23S ribosomal RNA". It matches the Rfam family "Bacterial large subunit ribosomal RNA", at positions 152 to 561 of the family's 2925-position model. Lineage: Bacteria; Pseudomonadati; Pseudomonadota; Gammaproteobacteria; Enterobacterales; Enterobacteriaceae. The record is from RNAcentral.
CAUUAACUGAAUCCAUAGGUUAAUGAGGCGAACCGGGGGAACUGAAACAUCUAAGUACCCCGAGGAAAAGAAAUCAACCGAGAUUCCCCCAGUAGCGGCGAGCGAACGGGGAGGAGCCCAGAGCCUGAAUCAGUGUGUGUGUUAGUGGAAGCGUCUGGAAAGGCGCGCGAUACAGGGUGACAGCCCCGUACACAAAAAUGCACAUACUGUGAGCUCGAUGAGUAGGGCGGGACACGUGGUAUCCUGUCUGAAUAUGGGGGGACCAUCCUCCAAGGCUAAAUACUCCUGACUGACCGAUAGUGAACCAGUACCGUGAGGGAAAGGCGAAAAGAACCCCGGCGAGGGGAGUGAAAAAGAACCUGAAACCGUGU